Oryctolagus cuniculus (rabbit) is the source of this 956-nucleotide non-coding RNA. The record is from RefSeq and is a predicted model, not a curated record. NCBI's taxonomy places the organism in Eukaryota, Metazoa, Chordata, Mammalia, Lagomorpha, Leporidae.
AAUGCCAUCAGAAAAUGAUUAGCUGAGUCAGUGAUGGCACAUGCAACCAGAUUUGUCUCCUAACUAGAUCUUACCAUUUAUUCUUAUGCAGCUACUAUCCAGUCUCAGCAAGACAAAUGCACUUUCUAAAACAGCAGAGACUAACAAGAGACCUUAGGGCUUAAAAAAAUAGUAUAGAAUUAUGUAAUAUGUGGAAACAUUCUUAUUAUCAGUAUUAAAAACCCCACAGAGAAAUGAGUCAGAAAUGUGAAGAAAAUGUAAAACACCAAAGCCAAUAAAUAGCCAUUACACUCUCCCUCAUCCUAAGCAGGUGGCUGCAGCCUCCAUGUGGGAUUCUCCCAAGAAGACCCGUGGGGAGGCAGGAGGGUCCCAGCAGGUGGCAGGAUCCCACUGGUGAAAGGGUGCAGCCCUGGAGGAGGCCCUUGGCACCUGUACCCAGACCUCACCUCUCUGCCUAUCUGGAGCAGCCUGGAGUUCCCGUCCUUGCUGUAAAGAUGCUGAUUUGUUGCAUCUUCUGGGUCCUGUGUGCUGACGGCUAUGUGAGCUGUCCAAUCAGGCGCGGUGACAUCACUGCCACAUAAUCACACUGGAUUGUGACACCACAGAGUUCCAAAUUCCUGGAGGAGAGAGGUUCAAGGAGGAGCCUCUGCCGCUUGGAGACUCAGGAGCUAGUGCGGCAUCCGUUGUUCUCUGACCUUUUCCACCCAACACAGCCCAUCUCAUAUGCCUGGGAAUGGUGAUGAUAGCAUUUGAAGAGCUUGCUGUGUACUUUACCUGGGAGGAAUGGCAGAACAUGAACCAAGCUCAGAAAAUCCUGUACAGGGAUGUGAUGCUGGAGACCUACAGCAGCCUGUCCUCUGUGGGACACUGCGUGAACAAACCUGACUUGAUCUUCAAGUUGGAGCUAGGAGCAGAGCCCUGGAUGGGGGAAGAAUGCCUACAUCAGAGCCUUCCAG